Molecule: ribosomal RNA, 259 nt
Filed under: uncultured Glomus
Lineage: Eukaryota; Fungi; Glomeromycota; Glomeromycetes; Glomerales; Glomeraceae
Description: partial 18S ribosomal RNA
Rfam family: Eukaryotic small subunit ribosomal RNA
Source: RNAcentral
AAGCUCGUAGUUGAAUUUCGGGGGUUAGUAGGUUGGUCAUGCCUCUGGUAUGUACUGGUCUCACUGAUUCCUCCUUCCUUAUGAACCGUAAUGCCAUUAAUUUGGUGUUGCGGGGAAUUUGGACUGUUACUUUGAAAAAAUUAGAGUGUUUAAAGCAAGCUAACGCUUGAAUACAUUAGCAUGGAAUAAUGAAAUAGGACGUUCGAUCUUAUUUUGUUGGUUUCUAGGAUUGACGUAAUGAUUAAUAGGGAUAGUUGGG